GACGAACGCUGGCGGCGUGCCUAAUACAUGCAAGUCGAACGAACCGCGACUAGGUGCUUGCACUUGGUCAAGGUGAGUGGCGAACGGGUGAGUAACACGUGGGUAACCUACCUCAUAGUGGGGGAUAACAGUCGGAAACGACUGCUAAUACCGCAUAGGACAUGAAAUCACAUGAUUCAGUGAGGAAAGGUGGCGCAAGCUAUCGCUAAGAGAUGGACCCGCGGUGCAUUAGCUAGUUGGUAGGGUAACGGCCUACCAAGGCGAUGAUGCAUAGCCGACCUGAGAGGGUGAUCGGCCACAUUGGGACUGAGACACGGCCCAAACUCCUACGGGAGGCAGCAGUAGGGAAUCUUCCGCAAUGGACGCAAGUCUGACGGAGCAACGCCGCGUGAGUGAAGAAGGUCUUCGGAUCGUAAAGCUCUGUUGUUAGAGAAGAACAGCGCAUAGAGUAACUGCUAUGCGUGUG
Molecule: ribosomal RNA, 466 nt
Filed under: Abiotrophia defectiva
Lineage: Bacteria; Bacillati; Bacillota; Bacilli; Lactobacillales; Aerococcaceae
Description: bacterial SSU rRNA
Rfam family: Bacterial small subunit ribosomal RNA
Source: RNAcentral